GAUGAACGCUGGCGGCGUGCCUAAUACAUGCAAGUCGAGCGAACAGACGAGGAGCUUGCUCCUCUGACGUUAGCGGCGGACGGGUGAUUCACACGUGGAUAACCUACCUAUAAGACUGGGAUAACUUCGGGAAACCGGAGCUAAUACCGGAUAAUAUAUUGACCCGCAUGGUUCAAUAGUGAAAUUCGGUUUUGCUGACACUAAUAGAUGGCUCCGCGCCGCAUUAGUUAGUUGGUAAGGUAACGGCUUACCAAGGCAACGAUGCGUAGCCGACCUGAGAGGGUGGUCGGCCAGCCUGGAAGUGAGGCACGGCACCGACUCCUGCGGGAAGCAGCAGUAGGGAAUCUUCCGGAAGGGACGAGAGCGUGACGGUGGAACGCCGCGUGAGUGAUGAAGGUCUACGGAUCGGAGAGCUAUGUUGUUAUGAAAGAAGAAAUGUGUAAGUAACUGUGCACGUAUUGACGGUACCGGAUGAGAAAGCCCCGGCUAACUACGUG
Molecule: ribosomal RNA, 497 nt
Filed under: uncultured bacterium
Lineage: Bacteria
Description: partial 16S ribosomal RNA
Rfam family: Bacterial small subunit ribosomal RNA
Source: RNAcentral